Helianthus annuus (common sunflower) is the source of this 720-nucleotide long non-coding RNA. RefSeq lists it as uncharacterized. The record is from RefSeq and is a predicted model, not a curated record. The transcript is spliced from 2 exons. Lineage: Eukaryota; Viridiplantae; Streptophyta; Magnoliopsida; Asterales; Asteraceae.
AAUACCAACCUCUUAAUGGUACCAUUCAGUGUUUAACCAUACAGUGAUAAGAAGUUGCUGAAAGAAAAAAAAGACUCUGGAUACCCUUUUCCUUCUUUCUCUGUAUCCAAAACUAGGGUUCACCAUUUCCCCCUUUCUCCUCUCAUCAACACCACCUCAGCCCCCAUCCCUCUCCUGACCACCUCCCGCCGCCCUCCUCCUCCGUCUCCUCACCACCGAGAGCCGCCCUCCUCCUCCCUCUCCUCGCAACCGAGCGCCGCCCUCCUCCUCCCUCCGGCCGCCUCCAUCCCUCUCCUGACCACCUCCCGCUCGGCGCCUCCUCCUCCUCCUCCUCACAACCUACACCCGGUCGCCGCCUCCUCCUCCUCCUCACAACCUCCCGCCGGUCGCUCCUCUACCCAGAGCUCUUGCCAAACAGAUACAUUUCAUUCAGCACAUAAUAGUUCAGAGGGGUAAAAUAGUUAUUCUGCACAGUCAUUCAGAGAUACAACCAAACAGCUCUUAAUGGUUCAGCACUUACUGGUUCAGAGCCUCUUACCCAUUCAGACCUCUUACUGGUUCAGCACUUACUGGUUCAGCACUUGCCAAACAGCCCCUUAGUUUGCUAAUUGUAAGACAUGGUCAUGAUGUGAUUACUUUGAUAAUUUUAUAUUUUAUAACUUGCUCCAUAUUUGUAUGAAUUAACAUAUAUUUCUAGUAUGAUUAUAGAGAUUACCUGUA